AUCUGUAUAAAAGAAAUUAUCAACAACAUUUUAAAGAAAUAACCCUGAAAAGAAACAAAUGGUUCAGAGAACAAAAGCAGCAUAAACAUCAUUUAAAAUGGAAUAGCUAGAUAGCUAGAUAGAUAGAUAGUUGUAAACUAUUAUAAUUAUGCUCAAAUUGUAUGAAAAAUUAUAUUUAAAUUAAGAAAUGCCUACUGUAAAUUAAAAUCUAGAAAAGGUUGUAAAAAUAGUUUUAGUUUACCUUUAGAACUAUAGAUUAAUUACAAUACAGAAAGAACACUAGAUGUCGACUUUUCAAGAUUUUGAGGUUUUUGUUCACAAUAACCCCAAGGCAUAAACCCAAAGGAGUUAAGCAUACGGCGUUGAAUUACAAGACACAGAGAGAGAGUAUACGCGUUACUCAUUUGGGCUUCUGCCUCAGGGUUAUUGUUAACGAAAAAAACCUAAAUCUUGAAAAGACGACAUCUAGUGUUCUAUCUGUUAUUGUUAAUUAACCUAUGUUUAGAACUAUGUAAAUAAAAAAAUGUAAACAAUUCUUAGCCAAUUUAUAACUACUUCUUAAUAUGUGUUAAGGAGUUGGAGGCUGAAAUCACACGCUUUACAGCUUUGAAAUGGUCAAACUCGAAACUACAAAAAAAGCAUUAUAAAGCAUGAGGAAUAGUUAAAGCCAUGUAAAACUAACUACAAUAAAUCGGAAUAUUUUGAUCUUUUAUGAUUAAAAAUGCGUCAAAAUAUCAAAAUUAUUUAUUCCUGUAAUAAAAUUGUGUAAUUGUAAUAAUAUUGUGUAACACGAUAUUGAUAAACAUGAGUUACGUAACAUGAUUAAAAUAUGCAUUGUGAUUAGAUUAACUACAUUUAUAUCUAUCCAUUUUAAUCUUCUAAAUAUGUAAAUUCAUCUUGAACUAUGCUGUAAACGUGUGUGGAGAUAGCUUAAAUAUGUUAUAUCUAUCCUAGCUAACCUUAUACAUAUGUAUAUUAUACUUAAACUACGCUGUAUAUAUAUAUCAACAUAGAACUUGUAAUUACAUCGAUUCACAUUAACUUGUAACAUAUCUAAAAUAAAUUUGUUGAUAUAGAGA
Molecule: long non-coding RNA, 1079 nt
Organism: Eurytemora carolleeae
Lineage: Eukaryota; Metazoa; Arthropoda; Copepoda; Calanoida; Temoridae
Exons: 2
Source: RefSeq, a predicted model, not a curated record